UACGUAGGGUGCGAGCGUUGUCCGGAAUUAUUGGGCGUAAAGAGCUCGUAGGCGGUCUGUCGCGUCGAUCGUGAAAAACUUGGGGCUUAACCCUGAGCUUGCGGUCGAUACGGGCAUGACUGGAGUUCGGCAGGGGAGACUGGAAUUCCUGGUGUAGCGGUGAAAAUGCGCAGAUAUCAGGAGGAACACCGGUGGCGAAGGCGGGUCUCUGGGCCGAUACUGACGCUGAGGAGCGAAAAGCGUGGGGGAGCGAACAGG
RNAcentral lists this ribosomal RNA (258 nucleotides) under uncultured bacterium. RNAcentral describes it as "partial 16S ribosomal RNA". It matches the Rfam family "Bacterial small subunit ribosomal RNA", at positions 524 to 776 of the family's 1533-position model. The record is from RNAcentral.